AAACUUAAAGGAAUUGACGGGGACCCGCACAAGCGGUGGAUGAUGUGGUUUAAUUCGAUGCAACGCGAAUAACCUUACCCACCUUUGACAUGGCAGGAAUCCCGAAGAGAUUUGGGAGUGCUCGAAAGAGAACCUGCACACAGGUGCUGCAUGGCUGUCGUCAGCUCGUGUCGUGAGAUGUUGGGUUAAGUCCCGCAACGAGCGCAACCCUUGCCAUUAGUUGCUACGAAAGGGCACUCUAAUGGGACUGCCGGUGACAAACCGGAGGAAGGUGGGGAUGACGUCAAGUCCUCAUGGCCCUUAUAGGUGGGGCUACACACGUCAUACAAUGGCCGGUACAGAGGGUAGCCAACCCGCGAGGGGGAGCCAAUCCCACAAAGCCGGUCGUAGUCCGGAUCGCAGUCUGCAACUCGACUGCGUGAAGUCGGAAUCGCUAGUAAUCGCGGAUCAGCAUGUCGCGGUGAAUACGUUCCCGGGUCUU
Molecule: ribosomal RNA, 481 nt
Filed under: uncultured Allobrachymonas sp.
Lineage: Bacteria; Pseudomonadati; Pseudomonadota; Betaproteobacteria; Burkholderiales; Comamonadaceae
Description: bacterial SSU rRNA
Rfam family: Bacterial small subunit ribosomal RNA
Source: RNAcentral